RNAcentral lists this small RNA (398 nucleotides) under Pan troglodytes (chimpanzee). Its description in RNAcentral is "processed transcript". The record is from RNAcentral. Lineage: Eukaryota; Metazoa; Chordata; Mammalia; Primates; Hominidae.
GGAAUGUGGCACAAUCAAAUCUGGCUCCUUCCACUUCUGAGUUGGUGCAAGAAACACUUGGCAGCUAUUAAAGUGCUAUUCUUUGCAGUUAUUUGGUAUAAUUUGCCACAGAAGUAAAUUCCAGGAGCCGGGAAGAUUUCCAGAGGAUUCCAGAACUUGCCAUCAACCCACUGGGGGACCGGAUCAUUAAUGCCUUCUUUCCAGAGGGAGAGGACCAGGUAAACUUCCGUGGAUUCAUGCGAACUUUGGCUCAUUUCCGCCCCAUUGAGGAUAAUGAAAAGAGCAAAGAUGUGAAUGGACCCGAACCACUCAACAGCCGAAGCAACAAACUGCACUUUGCUUUUCGACUAUAUGAUUUGGAUAAAGAUGAAAAGAUCUCCCGUGAUGAGCUGUUACAG